This 1035-nucleotide long non-coding RNA is filed under the name Coturnix japonica (Japanese quail). RNAcentral's name for it is "lncRNA (ENSCJPG00005003747.1)". The record is from RNAcentral. Lineage: Eukaryota; Metazoa; Chordata; Aves; Galliformes; Phasianidae.
AUGGUCACAGUCCGGCUGCACCCCCAUCAGUCCCCACCACACACCAGCAGCCAUCUGGCUGCAGCAGGCUCAUCCUGCUGGGAGCGGUCCCACCUGCUGGUUGGCCGCUCCCCGCACUCGGGAAGACCUUCCCAUUUCCCUUGGGCUCCCUACCUGUGCACGGCGGCUCCCAGAGGCUUGUGCUGGGUGGGGCAGUGGUGGCAGUUGGAUCCCACGGACAGCCAAAUCCUGGCUCUGUCUGCCUGGCAGCACAGCUUGCUGCGGCCUGCGGCCCACCUGUGUAGGGAGAAGGAGGCCUGGGUUGCAGGUGGCUGCAUUACCACCAGCGUCCCUGGCAAAGCCCCCAUGAGGAGGCUGUUCCCGGACACAGACAGCCCUGCUGAGCUGGGUCCUACUGCUCUCUGCCUCGGGGCACAGAGCUGUCCUGGGAGUCGGCUGGUGCCCAGAAAACGCCCCGGGGCAGGAGGAGCGGUGCCCUGGCCACAGGUGCUCAGGGCCCGCCAUGGCACCCCACCCGCUGCUGUGCCCCCUGCCUCGGUGUUUAGGUUGCCCUGGCAUCCCUCUCCCUCCCAGCACAUCCCGCACCUGGCGCUGUUCCCGCACGCUCGGCAGUCCUUUCUCGGCCUGGGAGUGGGCCUUCUGGUCCUGCUCCUUCGCCAUCUCUGUAUCCGCUCACGGAGACAAAGCUACAAGCACCCAGGGAAGCUACCUCCUCACGGAGCUACUCGCCUGAGAGUGAGCAGCACUGGGACUCUGGUUCCUAAAGGCACCAGGACACCACCAUGUCACAAUGGCCUUUGUGUGCGGCUGCCCGUGCAUCACAAAGUCCUGGUAGUUGCCAUGGAGACCCCACACGCCCUCCUGCAGCCCCCCACAUGUCAGCAUCUCCAUGGCUCCCUUCUCACACUAUCACAGAAUCUCUGGGGUUGGAAGGGACCUCUGCAGACCACUGGAUCCAAGCCUUCUGCCAAAGCUGUGUGGUGCCAUCGGCAAACUUGCCGAGAGUGCACUGAAUGCCACCAUUUAUGUGACUGA